RNAcentral lists this ribosomal RNA (835 nucleotides) under uncultured archaeon. RNAcentral describes it as "bacterial SSU rRNA". It matches the Rfam family "Archaeal small subunit ribosomal RNA", at positions 19 to 859 of the family's 1478-position model. The record is from RNAcentral.
GGAGGUCACUGCUAUUGGGAUUCGACUAAGCCAUGCGAGUCGAGAGGGUUCGGCCCUCGGCUGACGGCUCAGUAACACGUGGAUAAUCUGCCCUUAGGUGGAGGAUACCCUCGGGAAACUGAGAAUAAUACUCCAUAGGUCUGGGAUGCUGGAACGCACUUAGGCUCAAAGCUCCGGCGCCUAAGGAUGAGUCUGCGGACUAUCAGGUUGUAGUCAGGGUAAAGACCUGACUAGCCUACGACGGAUACGGGUUGUGAGAGCAAUAACCCGGAGAUGAUAUCUGAGACACGAUAUCAGGCCCUACGGGGCGCAGCAGGCGCGAAAACUUCACAAUGUGCGAAAGCACGAUGAGGGAAUCCCAAGUGCUUGCUCGUAAGAGUAAGCUGUUUUUAUGUUUAAAAUGCAUAGAGAGUAAGGGCUGGGUAAGACGGGUGCCAGCCGCCGCGGUAAUACCUGCAGCUCUAGCGGUGGCCGCUAUUAUUGGGCCUAAAACGUCCGUAGCCGGUUUAAUAAAUGCCUGGGUAAAUUGUGUAGCUUAACUAUACGAAUUCCGGGUAGACUGUUAGACUUGAGACCGGGAGAAGUUAGAGGUACUCCUGGGGUAGAGGUGAAAUUCUGUAAUCCUAGGGGGACCACCAGUGGCGAAGGCGUCUGACUAGAACGGGUCUGACGGUGAGGGACGAAGCCCUGGGGCGCAAACCGGAUUAGAUACCCGGGUAGUCCAGGGUGUAAACGCUGCUUGCUUGAUGUUAGUCGGGCUCCGAGCCCGAUUAGUGUCNGAGAGAAGUUGUUAAGCAAGCUGCCUGGGAAGUACGGUCGCAAGGCUGAAACUUAA